AACUUCAUAAGGCUUAAUUUCCCAGAGGGAAAACGGGGGAACCAAUAUUGGGGUGAAUCGCUUCUUAGCGUAGAGCAUGUUUCAGCUCGAAUCCGUCAGCUAACCUCGUCAGCACUGAGACACAUGAA
RNAcentral lists this small RNA (128 nucleotides) under Desulfitobacterium dichloroeliminans. RNAcentral describes it as "c-di-AMP sequence". It matches the Rfam family "c-di-AMP riboswitch aptamer (ydaO/yuaA leader)". From Rfam's summary of the family: This family represents a conserved RNA structure found upstream of the ydaO and yuaA genes in Bacillus subtilis and related genes in other bacteria. The ydaO/yuaA element is thought to act as a genetic "off" switch for the ydaO and yuaA genes in its native state. It is believed that the element may be triggered during osmotic shock leading to activation of ydaO, a predicted amino acid transporter gene, and members of the yuaA-yubG operon which code for KtrA and KtrB K+ transporters. The record is from RNAcentral. Lineage: Bacteria; Bacillati; Bacillota; Clostridia; Eubacteriales; Desulfitobacteriaceae. RNAcentral also lists the same sequence under 1 other name.